RNAcentral lists this ribosomal RNA (253 nucleotides) under uncultured bacterium. RNAcentral's name for it is "partial 16S ribosomal RNA". It matches the Rfam family "Bacterial small subunit ribosomal RNA", at positions 524 to 776 of the family's 1533-position model. The record is from RNAcentral.
UACAGAGGGUGCAAGCGUUGUUCGGAAUUAUUGGGCGUAAAGCGCGUGUAGGCGGCUUUGCAAGUCGGGUGUGAAAGCCCUCAGCUCAACUGAGGAAGUGCGCCCGAAACUGCAGAGCUUGAGUACCGGAGAGGGUGGCGGAAUUCCCCAAGUAGAGGUGAAAUUCGUAGAUAUGGGGAGGAACACCGGUGGCGAAGGCGGCCACGUGGACGGUCACUGACGCUGAGACGCGAAAGCGUGGGGAGCAAACAGG